Dromaius novaehollandiae (emu) is the source of this 707-nucleotide long non-coding RNA. RefSeq lists it as uncharacterized. Lineage: Eukaryota; Metazoa; Chordata; Aves; Casuariiformes; Dromaiidae. The record is from RefSeq and is a predicted model, not a curated record. The transcript is spliced from 3 exons.
GUGGGGCAGUCCGCUGGGCCUCAGCCCUGCAGGCUGCCGUCUUGUGGCGGUUGGGGGCUUUCGCCGGGUUUGUUUCAGGCGUUUCGCAGCUGUGGGAGGAGAGCUGUAUUGGCAGUGCGUGAUGAAACUGACUCAAUUUUUUACACCUGAAGGAGAUGUGGGGCAGCAUUAAGGAACAUGAAGAGCAAAACACAAGGACACAGGAAACAGCUCACCAAGGGGAGGGGAAAAGACUGGAUAACAAAAUGGAGGCAAGAGGUCAAGGACUUUCAGGUGCAAGUGAUUUAGUGAAGUCUUGUGAUGAGCCACUAAGUUACCUUCUGCCUGUCAUUUCCUGAUCACAAAGUGUUCAGGACUAUUCUCAAAAGAUAUACUGGUUUUUCAAGAAUUUCAUUACUGCUCCCAUUGUUCCCUGCAUGACAUUAUUUUAAGGAGUCUUCACAACCUACAGUAUUGUUUAUUCUAAGUGACAAGAAGCUUCUACUCCCAUGCUGCCUGUACAAUUACUGAAAAAACUGAAGCCCUCUUUACAAAUUAGCUUCAUAUAUGGUAUUUCUCAUAUGCAUGUUUCUUUCUGGCUUGUUUUUAUCUUCUUAAUUUUUAGUGUGCCUUUUUUCCUCUCUCAGAAACUAGCUUAUCAUUAUAGAUAUAUAAAAAAUCACAUACAUAAAUGUUUACAUCUCAGUUAUAUUACAGCAUUGGAAGCA